This 253-nucleotide long non-coding RNA is filed under the name Elaeis guineensis (African oil palm). Its description in RNAcentral is "long non-coding RNA (EGUI_LNC043163)". Lineage: Eukaryota; Viridiplantae; Streptophyta; Magnoliopsida; Arecales; Arecaceae. The record is from RNAcentral.
GAGGUGGUGUCCUGGUCAGACAUCCCUAACAGAUAGUUUUUUGACUUACCAUGCCUCGACUAUUCAUAGUAGGAUUGCUAUAGUUUGACUGUACAAUUACUUGAUUACCUAGUUAUUUAAAAUCUUACAGUGUAUAUUGGCUACAGUAGGUCCAUCGUAGGAAUAGGAUGUGUAUCUAGAUGGGAUCUAUCAAUCCUGAUAGAUACGAAAAGGUUCUAUGCAGUUCAUAAGACUAAGUCCUAAAAUCCAUGUC